This 47-nucleotide non-coding RNA is filed under the name Schistosoma margrebowiei. Lineage: Eukaryota; Metazoa; Platyhelminthes; Trematoda; Strigeidida; Schistosomatidae. The record is from RNAcentral.
GCACUACUGAAGAGUCCCACAAUAAGACGAAACCGGCUGUCCAGUGC